RNAcentral lists this ribosomal RNA (519 nucleotides) under uncultured bacterium. RNAcentral's name for it is "partial 16S ribosomal RNA". It matches the Rfam family "Bacterial small subunit ribosomal RNA", at positions 29 to 523 of the family's 1533-position model. The record is from RNAcentral.
AACGAACGCUGGCGGCGUGCCUAACACAUGCAAGUCGAGCGCGAAAGUCCCUUCGGGGGCUAGUAGAGCGGCGGACGGGUGAGUAAUACGUGGAUAAUCUUCCCUCGAGCUUGGGAUAACCCUGCGAAAGUGGGGCUAAUACCGGAUAAGACCACAUAGCAUAUGCUACGUGGUAGAAGGUGGCUUAUAUUUAUAUGAGCUAUCACUUGAGGACGAGUCCAUGGCCUAUCAGCUAGUUGGUGAGGUAAAAGCUCACCAAGGCUAUGACGGGUAGGUGGUCGGAGAGGACGACCAGCCACACUGGGACUGGAACACGGCCCAGACUCCUACGGGAGGCAGCAGUGGGGAAUAUUGGGCAAUGGGCGAAAGCCUGACCCAGCGACGCCGCGUGGGUGAUGAAGGCCUUCGGGUUGUAAAGCCCUUUCGUGCGGAAAGAACAGCCCUGUAGCGAAUACCUACAGGGUUUGACGGUACCGCAGGAAGAAGCACCGGCUAACUCCGUGCCAGCCGCCGCCGUAA